This 365-nucleotide ribosomal RNA is filed under the name uncultured eukaryote. RNAcentral describes it as "partial 18S ribosomal RNA". It matches the Rfam family "Eukaryotic small subunit ribosomal RNA", at positions 592 to 975 of the family's 1831-position model. The record is from RNAcentral.
CAAUAGCGUAUAUUAACGUUGUUGCAGUUAAAAAGCUCGUAGUUGGAUUUCUGGAGGGAGCGUCGGCCCGUAUUUACGAGUGCGUGACGUCUCUGUCCAUCCUUGCGGGAAGGCACGGCAUUGAUUUGUUGUGUCGGAUCGCAUCAUUUACUGUGAAAAAAUUAGAGUGUUCAAAGCAGGCUUUCGCUUGAAUACAUUAGCAUGGAAUAAUAAGAUAGGACUUUGGUGCUAUUUUGUUGGUUGAGCCUAAAGUAAUGAUUAAUAGGGAUAGUUGGGGGCACCUGUAUUGCGUUGUCAGAGGUGAAAUUCUUGGAUUUACGAAAGACAAACAGCUGCGAANGNGUCUGGNAAGGAUGUUUNCAUUA